This 541-nucleotide ribosomal RNA is filed under the name uncultured bacterium. RNAcentral describes it as "partial 16S ribosomal RNA". The record is from RNAcentral.
UAACGCUUGCACCCUUCGUAUUACCGCGGCUGCUGGCACGAAGUUAGCCGGUGCUUAUUCUGUUGGUAACGUCAAAACAGUAAGGUAUUAACUUACUGCCCUUCCUCCCAACUUAAAGUGCUUUACAAUCCGAAGACCUUCUUCACACACGCGGCAUGGCUGGAUCAGGCUUUCGCCCAUUGUCCAAUAUUCCCCACUGCUGCCUCCCGUAGGAGUCUGGACCGUGUCUCAGUUCCAGUGUGACUGAUCAUCCUCUCAGACCAGUUACGGAUCGUCGCCUUGGUAGGCCUUUACCCCACCAACUAGCUAAUCCGACCUAGGCUCAUCUGAUAGCGUGAGGUCCGAAGAUCCCCCACUUUCUCCCUCAGGACGUAUGCGGUAUUAGCGCCCGUUUCCGGACGUUAUCCCCCACUACCAGACAGAUUCCUAGGCAUUACUCACCCGUCCGCCGCUGAAUCCAGGAGCAAGCUCCCUUCAUCCGCUCGACUUGCAUGUGUUAGGCCUGCCGCCAGCGUUCAAUCUGAGCCAGGAUCAAACUCUA